Molecule: ribosomal RNA, 274 nt
Filed under: uncultured bacterium
Lineage: Bacteria
Description: partial 16S ribosomal RNA
Rfam family: Bacterial small subunit ribosomal RNA
Source: RNAcentral
AUACGGGGGGUGCAAGCGUUGUCCGGAAUCAUUGGGCGUAAAGGGUUCGUAGGUGGAAUUAUAAGUCUGGUGUGAAAGCCCACAGCUCAACUGUGGAACUGCACUGGAUACUGCUUUUCUUGAGUUAUAGAGGGGUUUGUGGAAUUUCUGGUGUAGAGGUGAAAUUUGUAGAGAUCAGAAAGAACACCGGUGGCGAAGGCGACAAACUGGCUAUUAACUGACACUGAGGAACGAAAGCGUGGGGAGCGAACAGGAUUAGAAACCCCAGUAGUCC